AUACGGAGGGUGCGAGCGUUGUUCGGAAUUACUGGGCGUAAAGCGGGUGUAGGCGGUGGAUCAAGUCAGAUGUGAAAGCCCUCGGCUCAACCGAGGAAGUGCAUCUGAAACUGGUUCACUAGAGUACGGGAGAGGAGAGUGGAAUUCCCAGUGUAGAGGUGAAAUUCGUAGAUAUUGGGAGGAACACCGGUGGCGAAGGCGGCUCUCUGGAACGAUACUGACGCUGAGACCCGAAAGCGUGGGGAGCAAACAGGAUUAGAUACCCCAGUAGUCC
This 274-nucleotide ribosomal RNA is filed under the name uncultured bacterium. RNAcentral describes it as "partial 16S ribosomal RNA". It matches the Rfam family "Bacterial small subunit ribosomal RNA", at positions 523 to 796 of the family's 1533-position model. The record is from RNAcentral.